UACGUAGGGUGCAAGCGUUAAUCGGAAUUACUGGGCGUAAAGCGUGCGCAGGCGGUUUUGUAAGUCAGAUGUGAAAUCCCCGGGCUUAACCUGGGAACUGCGUUUGAAACUACAAGGCUAGAGUGUGGCAGAGGGGGGUGGAAUUCCACGUGUAGCAGUGAAAUGCGUAGAGAUGUGGAGGAACACCGAUGGCGAAGGCAGCCCCCUGGGCCAAUACGUGACGCUCAUGCACGAAAGCGUGGGGAGCAAACAGG
This 254-nucleotide ribosomal RNA is filed under the name uncultured bacterium. RNAcentral describes it as "partial 16S ribosomal RNA". It matches the Rfam family "Bacterial small subunit ribosomal RNA", at positions 524 to 776 of the family's 1533-position model. The record is from RNAcentral.